CGUCAAAUCAUCAUGCCCUUAUGACCUGGGCUACACACGUGCUACAAUGGUUGGUACGACGAGUUGCGAGUCGGUGACGGCGAGCUAAUCUCUUAAAGCCAAUCUCAGUUCGGAUUGUAGGCUGCAACUCGCCUACAUGAAGUCGGAAUCGCUAGUAAUCGCGGAUCAGCACGCCGCGGUGAAUACGUUCCCGGGCCUU
This 199-nucleotide ribosomal RNA is filed under the name uncultured Streptococcus sp. RNAcentral's name for it is "partial 16S ribosomal RNA". It matches the Rfam family "Bacterial small subunit ribosomal RNA", at positions 1183 to 1382 of the family's 1533-position model. The record is from RNAcentral. Lineage: Bacteria; Bacillati; Bacillota; Bacilli; Lactobacillales; Streptococcaceae.